GUGACGGGCAGCGGUUUUCACCACCCUCCUGUUGCCACCUGGGGAUUCCCUGGAUGAAGCCCAGGUAGUCCCAGUAAAGGAAGGAGAAUGGCCCUGUUCCCUGUGUGCAGGAGGAGAGAAGAGCGUGAACCCGUGGGGAGCCUCCUUGACAGUUCCUUCUGAGGCUUUGGAGAGCUACCAAGGCAGCCUGCAUGAAAACAGCUCAGUCCCUGUUUGGAUUUAUCUGCCUUUGCUCUAUUACCUUUCUGAAGCUGAAGACUCAACCAGAUAGGUGGCAGUGGAGAAACUUCCCACUGUUUCUCCUUUGAACCCAGCUGGACACCACCCUGAAGUUCCAGUACAUGGAGAUAGCCAGUAAAUGAACAAUUGAUGACCUGUGUUGAAGAGAGAGGGCAUGUUGCCUAGGGGUAAUGGCCACCAGCAAACACAACCCUCUGGAUGAAAGACUGUUGAUCAUCUCAGUCCGUGGAACAGAACAGGGGGUCUGUGGGUGGUGGACACCAGAAGCAUAGGGCCUGGAACAUUAGUGAACAGACAUAACAACUGAUGGCCACUAAGGACAUUUCCUGGCUCUGGCUCCUCUGCCCUUAAGAAUCCGGACAGUCCAUGAGCACUGUUACGGGCCAUCUCUUAGCUGAAGAAGUCAACUGGGCAUUACCCUCCACUGGAACAUGAACUUCCAGAUGCAAGGAGUGCAGUCAGUUCAUCUGAGAAUGUAUAUCCGCCUGCCCAGAGGCAGGGAGAAGAUGGCAAGGUGCUAUCCUCUCCAGGAUUCAGCUCUGAAGCCUCUUAACUGUGCACUUAAUAAAUGAAGCCUUGGCAGACACACCUUGAAUUAUUAAUGAAGUUAUUCAGCUUUGAUUGUUUCCUUCUUUUGGGGAAAGGUUAUUCACUCAAAUGCCUUUGAUUAGACUACACAAUACAUCACAAUUGGGCAUAUUUUAUGUGCAACUUUAUGGCGAUAAUAGUUCUGUCUCAUUUAGAAGCAAAUCAGACAUUAUGAACUUCGUGAUUUAUUAAUGUAUUGAUUUCUAUAAAUGUCAGCGCAUCUCACAUCCUGCCAGAGAGCCCGGGAGCAAUCAGUGAAAGGCCAAUAAAAAUGUAAAAUGAAACCAUCAUAAAAAGAGGAAAUACUGCCUGUUUCCAAGCCCUGCUGCCUCUCUAUAUUGUCUCAGGGUCUACAUCAUUACCAUGAAGGCAUCCCCCCACCUACAAGGAAACAGCCUUGAUGGUGGGGGAGGGGGCUCUAUCCUGCUUAAAUCUAUUUUAAAUAAAAAGAAGGUUGUAUGGCAGGAGAAAUAAAAAACAAGAGGUGAAGAGUGGGACCUGGAGGGGCCCCAGGGCUAGUGCCUAGAUUCCUCACCCUGGAGAAAGCAGGAGGAGGAGGAGGAAUCCCUUUCCAUCAGAUUCACCCCACAACAACCCCCCACCUUCCUGCUGAGGAACCUUCAAGACAGAGCCUAGAUUUUCCUGCUGGCGCUGAAGAGUCCACGCUAGGGCCCUGGUCUACCUUUCCAGACGAUUCCCCAAUUCUGAGCCCAGUACAUUUCAGCCUUAUACUUUACAGAGUACUUUCACAUUGCUUAACCCCUGUGAGGUAUGCAUAAUAUUAUUCUCAUUUUACCGAAGAGAAGACGGAGGCUCAGAGAAGAAAGAGAAAAGGUGACACUUCUGAGCACUGCCUAUUUGCAGAGCACUGUGACAUGUACUUUGCUUACAUGAUCUCACUUAAUUCUCUCAUAGCUUUAAUUGUUGAUUUCUUAUUAGCUAAUUAUUGUUCCUAUUUUAUUAGGAGAAAUUGAAUCAGCAAUUUCAGGAGGCAUCCUUGGGGUCACAGAGAC
This 1841-nucleotide long non-coding RNA is filed under the name Homo sapiens (human). Its description in RNAcentral is "HSALNT0097627". The record is from RNAcentral. Lineage: Eukaryota; Metazoa; Chordata; Mammalia; Primates; Hominidae.